RNAcentral lists this long non-coding RNA (398 nucleotides) under Astyanax mexicanus (Mexican tetra). RNAcentral describes it as "lncRNA (ENSAMXG00005002135.1)". Lineage: Eukaryota; Metazoa; Chordata; Actinopteri; Characiformes; Acestrorhamphidae. The record is from RNAcentral.
UCCAGAGCAUGCAUUGGAUAAAGGUCUGCCGUGUAUAAAUGAGUGAUUGCAUUGUGGAUUUUUCCUCUUUUAGGUUACUCUCUGUGACCAGCAAUGUCGGGGACGCUCAGGCCUUGCUCACUGUGAUUUUCGAUAAUAAGAUUGCCACUGUGGAACCUCAGUUCAGUGCCAAGGACCUCUUUGAAUGCCUGUCCCAACCAGACUACAGGGAAAAGCUGUGUGUGGGAGGAGCCCAGCUGAUGGAGCUAAGAACAAAUCUGGAUUGCUGUGCUGCUGCUGUGUGUGGUCGGAGUGGAAGCAAUACCUAAACCUGGGAUUUAAAAACAUCCAAACUACACUGACUUACUGACUAUACCAAAUAUAAUAAAUGGACAUUAAUGACAUUAAUAGAUAGUGGG